RNAcentral lists this ribosomal RNA (386 nucleotides) under Telonemia sp. RNAcentral's name for it is "partial small subunit ribosomal RNA". It matches the Rfam family "Eukaryotic small subunit ribosomal RNA", at positions 582 to 975 of the family's 1831-position model. The record is from RNAcentral. Lineage: Eukaryota; Telonemia.
AUUCCAGCUCCAAUAGCGUAUAUUAAAGUUGUUGCAGUUAAAAAGCUCGUAGUUGGAUCUCAGGGUGAGCUCAGUUGGUCGGCCUAAUUGGUCAGAACUGGCUGACUCUCCCUUGUUUCUGAAUCCCGGUCAGAGUUAAUUCUUCGUUCGUGGACUUCAGAUCGUUUACCUUGAAAAAAUUAGAGUGUUCAAAGCGGGCGUUUGCUUGAAUACAUUAGCAUGGAAUAAUGGAAUAGGACCCUGGUUCUAUUUUGUUGGUUUUGAGGACCAGAGUAAUGAUUAAUAGGGAUAGUUGGGGGCAUUCAUAUUUAAUGGUCAGAGGUGAAAUUCUUGGAUUUAUGAAAGAUGAACUUCUGCGAAAGCAUUUGCCAAGGAUGUUUUCAUCA